UACGUAGGGGGCAAGCGUUGUCCGGAAUCAUUGGGCGUAAAGCGCGUGUAGGCGGCUUGAUAAGUCCGCUCUGAAAGCCCGGGGCUCAACCCCGGGAGGCGGGUGGAUACUGUCAAGCUCGAGUCCGGAAGAGGCGAGUGGAAUUCCUGGUGUAGCGGUGAAAUGCGCAGAUAUCAGGAAGAACACCCGUGGCGAAGGCGGCUCUCUGGGACGGUACUGACGCUGAGACGCGAAAGCGUGGGGAGCGAACAGG
Molecule: ribosomal RNA, 253 nt
Filed under: uncultured bacterium
Lineage: Bacteria
Description: partial 16S ribosomal RNA
Rfam family: Bacterial small subunit ribosomal RNA
Source: RNAcentral